RNAcentral lists this ribosomal RNA (743 nucleotides) under uncultured bacterium. RNAcentral describes it as "bacterial SSU rRNA". It matches the Rfam family "Bacterial small subunit ribosomal RNA", at positions 57 to 853 of the family's 1533-position model. The record is from RNAcentral.
GCAAUUCGAACGGGGACUUCCGGAUUAGUGGCGGACGGGUGAUCAGCGUGAAACUGCCUCAGGUUGGGGAAACCACCGGAUCGGUGGCUAAACCGAAAAGCCUAACGGUGAAAGAUUAUUGCCUGAAGAUGAGCUCGCGUCUGAUUAGCUAGUUGGUGGGGUAAGAGCCUACCAAGGCGUCGAUCAGUAACUGGUCUGAGAGGAUGACCAGUCACACUGGGACUGAGACACGGCCCAGACUCCUACGGGAGGCAGCAGUGGGGAAUUUUCCGCAAUGGGCGAAAGCCUGACGGAGCAAUACCGCGUGAGGGAGGAGGGCUCUUGGGUUGUAAACCUCUUUUCUCAGGGAAGAACACAAUGACGGUACCUGAGGAAUCAGCAUCGGCUAACUCCGUGCCAGCAGCCGCGGUAAUACGGAGGAUGCAAGCGUUAUCCGGAAUGAUUGGGCGUAAAGCGUCCGCAGGUGGCAGUUCAAGUCUGCUGUCAAAGACCGGGGCUCAACCCUGGAAAGGCAGUGGAAACUGAACAGCUAGAGUGCGGUGGGGGCAGAGGGAAUUCCUGGUGUAGCGGUGAAAUGCGUAGAUAUCAGGAAGAACACCGGUGGCGAAAGCGCUCUGCUAGGCCGCAACUGACACUCAUGGACGAAAGCUAGGGGAGCGAAUGGGAUUAGAUACCCCAGUAGUCCUAGCCGUAAACGAUGGAUACUAGGCGUAGCUUGUAUCGACCCAAGCUGUGCCGUAGCU